This 26-nucleotide non-coding RNA is filed under the name Mus musculus (house mouse). Lineage: Eukaryota; Metazoa; Chordata; Mammalia; Rodentia; Muridae. The record is from RNAcentral.
GCCUGUUUUCUCUUUGUGACCAGGAG